This 259-nucleotide ribosomal RNA is filed under the name uncultured bacterium. RNAcentral describes it as "partial 16S ribosomal RNA". It matches the Rfam family "Bacterial small subunit ribosomal RNA", at positions 96 to 354 of the family's 1533-position model. The record is from RNAcentral.
UGGCGGACGGGUGAGUAACGCGUGGGUAACCUGCCCCAUACAGGGGGAGUAACAGAUAGAAAUGUCUGCUAAUACCGCAUAAGACCACAGCACCGCAUGGUGCAGGGGUAAAAACUCCGGUGGUAUGGGAUGGACCCGCGUCUGAUUAGCUGGUUGGUGAGGUAACGGCUCACCAAGGCAACGAUCAGUAGCCGACCUGAGAGGGUGACCGGCCACAUUGGGACUGAGACACGGCCCAAACUCCUACGGGAGGCAGCAG